This 261-nucleotide ribosomal RNA is filed under the name uncultured archaeon. Its description in RNAcentral is "partial 16S ribosomal RNA". It matches the Rfam family "Archaeal small subunit ribosomal RNA", at positions 748 to 1008 of the family's 1478-position model. The record is from RNAcentral.
AGGGUGUAAACGCUGCAGACUUGGUGUUGGAAGCCCUUUGGGGGCAUUCAGUGCCGGAGAGAAGUUGUUAAGUCUGCUACUUGGGGAGUACGUCCGCAAGGAUGAAACUUAAAGGAAUUGGCGGGGGAGCACCGCAACGGGAGGAGCGUGCGGUUUAAUUGGAUUCAACACCGUAAACUCACCAGGGAAGACUGUUACAUGAAGGCCGAGAUGAAGACUCUGCUAGAUUUUUCAGAGAGGUGGUGCAUGGCGUCAGUGACU